This 200-nucleotide long non-coding RNA is filed under the name Elaeis guineensis (African oil palm). Its description in RNAcentral is "long non-coding RNA (EGUI_LNC041647)". Lineage: Eukaryota; Viridiplantae; Streptophyta; Magnoliopsida; Arecales; Arecaceae. The record is from RNAcentral.
CCUUCCACCAAUAGUUCUAUCUCAUAGUUUUGUACAUUUUAGUGCUUCCUGGAUGUAAAGUAUAGGCUGAACAAUGAGUUUCUUCCAUUAUAUACUUUCUAAGAUCCCCUUUCUUUGAAACACAUAUUCAGCUUCUGUACAUUAGGGUACCAUCCUUUUUGAUUGAAAAUUCUAUCUGUAGCUAAUGAACACUUGAAUUA